UGCAGUCGAGCGAGGACUUCGGUCCUAGCGGCGGACGGGUGAGUAACGCGUGGGAACGUGCCCUUUGCUACGGAAUAGCCCCGGGAAACUGGGAGUAAUACCGUAUGUGCCCUUCGGGGGAAAGAUUUAUCGGCAAAGGAUCGGCCCGCGUUGGAUUAGGUAGUUGGUGGGGUAACGGCCUACCAAGCCGACGAUCCAUAGCUGGUUUGAGAGGAUGAUCAGCCACACUGGGACUGAGACACGGCCCAGACUCCUACGGGAGGCAGCAGUGGGGAAUCUUAGACAAUGGGGGAAACCCUGAUCUAGCCAUGCCGCGUGAGCGAUGAAGGCCUUAGGGUUGUAAAGCUCUUUCAGCUGGGAAGAUAAUGACGGUACCAGCAGAAGAAGCCCCGGCUAACUCCGUGCCAGCAGCCGCGGUAAUACGGAGGGGGCUAGCGUUGUUCGGAAUUACUGGGCGUAAAGCGCACGUAGGCGGAUUGGAAAGUUGGGGGUGAAAUCCCGGGGCUCAACCUCGGAACUGCCUCCAAAACUCCCAGUCUUGAGGUCGAGAGAGGUGAGUGGAAUUCCGAGUGUAGAGGUGAAAUUCGUAGAUAUUCGGAGGAACACCAGUGGCGAAAGGCGGCUCACUGGCUCGAUACUGACGCUG
This 646-nucleotide ribosomal RNA is filed under the name Rhodobacter sp. YS23. RNAcentral's name for it is "bacterial SSU rRNA". It matches the Rfam family "Bacterial small subunit ribosomal RNA", at positions 56 to 748 of the family's 1533-position model. Lineage: Bacteria; Pseudomonadati; Pseudomonadota; Alphaproteobacteria; Rhodobacterales. The record is from RNAcentral.